CAAAGAAAAUAAAAUGAAAACAAAAACAAUCCAAUAAAAAUGGGAAAGGAAAUGUAUCCAGGAAAUUGAUCUCCACCCUUCUGAAGCUGCAUUAAAGGUCCUCCACCACAUCACAAAAAGCUUCCUCAGAAAGUUGUUCAUUCAUCUUUGCACGUGCCUCUUUGUCCCACUCCUUUUGUUUCUUUUUCCCCUUAUGUUCUCUUUUCGAAAUUGGAUUUUUCUUCUCUUUUUUUCUGUUCCCUUAUGCUCUCUUCCCGAAGUUCAAUUCUCUUCCCC
This 276-nucleotide long non-coding RNA is filed under the name Vigna radiata. RNAcentral describes it as "long non-coding RNA (VRAD_LNC001287)". The record is from RNAcentral. Lineage: Eukaryota; Viridiplantae; Streptophyta; Magnoliopsida; Fabales; Fabaceae.